Non-coding RNA from Phrynosoma platyrhinos (Desert horned lizard), 72 nucleotides. NCBI's taxonomy places the organism in Eukaryota, Metazoa, Chordata, Lepidosauria, Squamata, Phrynosomatidae. The record is from the annotation of a GenBank genome assembly.
GCCAGUGUGCCACAGUGGUUUGAGUGUUGAACUAUGAUUCUGGAAACCAGGGUUCAAUUCCCAGCUUGGCCA